Motacilla alba alba is the source of this 663-nucleotide long non-coding RNA. RefSeq lists it as uncharacterized. The record is from RefSeq and is a predicted model, not a curated record. Lineage: Eukaryota; Metazoa; Chordata; Aves; Passeriformes; Motacillidae. The transcript is spliced from 2 exons.
CGGAUCCCUGCAGCCCUCUGGCAAAACAGCCUCCCCAGCACCCACUGAGGGCUCUGGAAAAAGGGACAAGCCAGCCCAGCCCAGGGCCUGGCCAGCUCCAGGGCAGUGGGUCAGCAGGGCUUGUUUUGCAGGGGAACUCAUCAGCGUCAAGCUGCCACCUAGUAAAGAUGUUUUUGUUUUUUAAUCUGCUUUAGAAAAAGAAAAUCCCUAGGAAACUGCAGCCAGAAAUUACAUCAGCAAUGUGCUCUGUCAGUUGCAGGGUCUCCAGGGUGGGAUGAGUCCAAACUUCAGCUGCUCAGGGGGGCUCAGACAGCAGGUGUUGGGAAGCACCAGGGGCACCGAGGCACGCACCAUGAUGGGCCCACACCACAUUUCCAUCACGAGAGCAAGAAUUAGUUUGGAUUCUGUGUGUCCCAGCUGUCAGCAGCCUUUGGACCUUGCCCAGGAAGGGGUGUUCCAUGCAUUGCCCAGCACUGGCUGUAGGACAGAGCGUUUGCUGUCAUGCAGAGGCUCUGUGGCUCUGCAGCAGGGCCAGGAGAUGCUGCAGCUGUGCCCUGCCUGGGCAUCCCCGCUGGAGCCAUCAUUUUAUCUCCUAUUUCUAGGCAAAGUUAAAAUUUAGCCACGUGAAAUGAGAAACCAAAAUACAAAGGUUUUCAAAAGUGA